This 291-nucleotide long non-coding RNA is filed under the name Pan troglodytes (chimpanzee). Its description in RNAcentral is "lincRNA". The record is from RNAcentral. Lineage: Eukaryota; Metazoa; Chordata; Mammalia; Primates; Hominidae.
CUUUCCAUCCUCCUCAUUCGUCUAGGGGCACCCGAAUCCCCUAUUCCUUAUUUCCCGUAUCAAUCAGGCACUGGCAGCGUCCUUUGCUACUCCUGUUGGCCGCCGCGGCUCCAAAGCGAGAUGUGCCUGAGACAGGUUUGACCAGGCAACUGAAAAGAUAUCCCUAAGAGAAGACAAAGCAAAGGUAUGAAAGGAACACACGUCCCUGACUGACUAGGAGGAACAGAGCUGCCUGCUGUCUGGAACCGCUUCCUCCCAGACUAAGUGAGAAAUAAACUUCUGUUUUCUAUA